This 479-nucleotide ribosomal RNA is filed under the name Clostridium chauvoei. Its description in RNAcentral is "bacterial LSU rRNA". It matches the Rfam family "Bacterial large subunit ribosomal RNA", at positions 1 to 484 of the family's 2925-position model. Lineage: Bacteria; Bacillati; Bacillota; Clostridia; Eubacteriales; Clostridiaceae. The record is from RNAcentral.
GGUCAAGCUACAAAGGGCGCAUGGUGAAUGCCUUGGCAUCAGGAGCCGAUGAAGGACGUGAUAAGCUGCGAUAAGCUUCGGGUAGGCGCACAUAGCCAGUGAUCCGGAGAUUUCCGAAUGAGGGAACUCACAUGGGAAACCCCAUGUAUCCUGUAAUGAAUAAAUAGUUACAGGAAGGUAAACCUAGGGAACUGAAACAUCUAAGUACCUAGAGGAAGAGAAAGAAAAAUCGAUUUUCUGAGUAGCGGCGAGCGAAAGGGAAAGAGCCCAAACCAGAGAUUUAUCUCUGGGGUUGCGGACAGAACAUUAAAUAAACUAAUUUGUAACCGAAAAUAACUGGAAAGUUAGGCCAUAGAGUGUAAUAGCCACGUAGGUAAAACAGAAAGGUUUAGAGUUCUGAUCCAGAGUACCACGAGACACGUGAAACCUUGUGGGAAGCAGGGAGGACCACCUCCCAAGGCUAAAUACUACCUGAUGAC